Unclassified non-coding RNA from Callithrix jacchus (white-tufted-ear marmoset), 117 nucleotides. It matches the Rfam family "Metazoan signal recognition particle RNA". From Rfam's summary of the family: The signal recognition particle (SRP) is a universally conserved ribonucleoprotein. It is involved in the co-translational targeting of proteins to membranes. The eukaryotic SRP consists of a 300-nucleotide 7S RNA and six proteins: SRPs 72, 68, 54, 19, 14, and 9. NCBI's taxonomy places the organism in Eukaryota, Metazoa, Chordata, Mammalia, Primates, Cebidae. The record is from Ensembl.
GCUGGGUGUGGUGGCCCAUGCCUGUAAUCUCAGUACUUUGGGAAGCUGAGGCAGGUGGAUCACUUGAGGUCAGGAGUUCAAGACCAGCCUGGCCUACAUGGUGAAAACCUGUCUCUA